GACGAACGCUGGCGGCGUGCCUAAUACAUGCAAGUAGAACGCUGAAGGAGGAGCUUGCUUCUCCGGAUGAGUUGCGAACGGGUGAGUAACGCGUAGGUAACCUGCCUGGUAGCGGGGGAUAACUAUUGGAAACGAUAGCUAAUACCGCAUAACAGUAGAUAUUGCAUGAUAUCUGCUUGAAAGGUGCAAUUGCAUCACUACCAGAUGGACCUGCGUUGUAUUAGCUAGUUGGUGGGGUAACGGCUCACCAAGGCGACGAUACAUAGCCGACCUGAGAGGGUGAUCGGCCACACUGGGACUGAGACACGGCCCAGACUCCUACGGGAGGCAGCAGUAGGGAAUCUUCGGCAAUGGACGGAAGUCUGACCGAGCAACGCCGCGUGAGUGAAGAAGGGUUUCGGAUCGUAAAGCUCUGUUGUAAGAGAAGAACGAGUGUGAGAGUGGAAAGUUCACACUGUGACGGUAUCUUACCAGAAAGGGACGGCUAACUACGUG
This 495-nucleotide ribosomal RNA is filed under the name uncultured bacterium. RNAcentral describes it as "partial 16S ribosomal RNA". It matches the Rfam family "Bacterial small subunit ribosomal RNA", at positions 28 to 507 of the family's 1533-position model. The record is from RNAcentral.